Lacerta agilis (Sand lizard) is the source of this 394-nucleotide long non-coding RNA. RefSeq lists it as uncharacterized. NCBI's taxonomy places the organism in Eukaryota, Metazoa, Chordata, Lepidosauria, Squamata, Lacertidae. The transcript is spliced from 2 exons. The record is from RefSeq and is a predicted model, not a curated record.
CAGCGCUAUGAUUUUUGUCCAGGAAAGGCUUGCUGACUUGAACAACCUUUCCCACCCAGCAACAGGAGGCAAACAGAGUCCCUAACUGGCUGUGUGUUUGAUGGUCAAGCUCUCCUUGCUAAAGCGUCAGAGAGCAGAGAUAAUAGGCUGUCGUUUUAUCUGUAUGAAGAGGCUGAGUAAUGAAGACAAAUGUUGGCAGUUCUCAAAUGUGUACUGAAGAUCUGUUCCCAUACAAGAUCUGUUUAGAAUUUAAGUUGAAUUUAAACCAAUUUCUCCAUAAAGCUGCAGUUUAAAAUAAACAGACGUGUUACUUAUGUUUUAAAUGCAACGAUUUCAAGAGGGGUGAUCAUAUUAGGCAGCGUUGCAGCAAAAACAAUAAACUUGUCUUGUGGCA